AUUGAACGCUGGCGGCAUGCCUUACACAUGCCAGUCGAACGGUAACGGGCCUUCGGGUGCCGACGAGUGGCGAGCGGGUGAGUAAUACAUCGGAACGUGCCCGAUCGUGGGGGAUAACGAGGCGAAAGCUUUGCUAAUACCGCAUACGAUCUACGGAUGAAAGCAGGGGACCGCAAGGCCUUGCGCGGACGGAGCGGCCGAUGGCAGAUUAGGUAGUUGGUGGGAUAAAAGCUUACCAAGCCGACGAUCUGUAGCUGGUCUGAGAGGAUGAUCAGCCACACUGGGACUGAGACACGGCCCAGACUCCUACGGGAGGCAGCAGUGGGGAAUUUUGGACAAUGGGCGCAAGCCUGAUCCAGCCAUGCCGCGUGCAGGAUGAAGGCCUUCGGGUUGUAAACUGCUUUUGUACGGAACGAAAAGCCUUCUUUUAAUACAGGAGGGUCAUGACGGUACCGUAAGAAUAAGCACCGGCUAACUACGUG
Molecule: ribosomal RNA, 482 nt
Filed under: uncultured bacterium
Lineage: Bacteria
Description: partial 16S ribosomal RNA
Rfam family: Bacterial small subunit ribosomal RNA
Source: RNAcentral